GUGAACGCUGGCGGUAGGCCUAACCCAUGCCAGUCGAACGGCAGCACAGUAAGAGCUUGCUCUUACGGGUGGCGAGUGGCGGACGGGUGAAGAAUACAUCGGAAUCUACUUUUUCGUGGGGGAUAACGUAGGGAAACUUACGCUAAUACCGCAUACGACCUACGGGUGAAAGCAGGGGAUCUUCGGACCUUGCGCGAUUGAAUGAGCCGAUGUCGGAUUAGCUAGUUGGCGGGGUAAAGGCCCACCAAGGCGACGAUCCGUAGCUGGUCUGAGAGGAUGAUCAGCCACACUGGAACUGAGACACGGUCCAGACUCCUACGGGAGGCAGCAGUGGGGAAUAUUGGACAAUGGGCGCAAGCCUGAUCCAGCCAUACCGCGUGGGUGAAGAAGGCCUUCGGGUUGUAAAGCCCUUUUGUUGGGAAAGAAAAGCAGCAGGUUAAUACCCCGCUGUUCUGACGGUACCCAAAGAAUAAGCACCGGCUAACUUCGUG
RNAcentral lists this ribosomal RNA (491 nucleotides) under uncultured bacterium. RNAcentral describes it as "partial 16S ribosomal RNA". It matches the Rfam family "Bacterial small subunit ribosomal RNA", at positions 29 to 507 of the family's 1533-position model. The record is from RNAcentral.